Long non-coding RNA from Triticum aestivum (bread wheat), 2656 nucleotides. RefSeq lists it as uncharacterized. Lineage: Eukaryota; Viridiplantae; Streptophyta; Magnoliopsida; Poales; Poaceae. The record is from RefSeq and is a predicted model, not a curated record. The transcript has 2 exons.
AAGAGAUGAGUGGAAAAGACCCCUUUUUACCACUCCUGGGCGGCCUCCAGCCCUUAAAAUCCACCCUUGGGUCGGCCAAAACUGGCCGGCACCGUCCCUCCCCAUCCCUCCCGGGCAAGGGACGAGCUCCGCGGUGGCACACACCAGUCGAAGGGAGGCAAGGAAGACUCGGCGGUCCACCUACCGGCGGAGUUGUCCCUUAACGGUGGACGACGACUGGGAGAGGACUGCCCUCCAGUGAACGUAGCACACACAUGACGAGGGGUUGAAGUGAAAGUCGAAACAGUCCGCUUACAGACGAGCCGACGCCGAAGUAGAAGCCGACCGUCGCCGUGAGCAGAGCUGUCGGGCCACCGUGUAGCCGCCACGCCACCAGUAGGCUACCGCCCAUGUGCCGGACCUUCCCGCGCCGCCGUCCAUGGCCGGAGCAACAACCACACCAGGCCGCUGCCUAACCUGUGCCUCCCACCCCGAUCUUGCUGUCAGAUCCGGAUGAGCGCGCCGCCACCAGCCCCACAUCUACGAAGCCGCCUCCGCACGCACCCAUGGAGGCACGAGGAAGACCUCUAGGAGCGGUAGGAGGAUCCAUCGGCGGCCAUCAGGCCAUCCGCCGCCCGGAUCCGCUCGGACCCGAGCCAGAUCGAGCGGCCGCAACGGGCGCCACCACCUCGCAGCCCACUGCGCAGGGCCAUGCCGAGGAGCCCUGCGCUCGCGCGCCGCCGCCACCGUAAGCACCGUGCCCCCCUCUCCCACCCACUCCGCUGUGUUUGGAUGUGGAGAUUGAGGGGUAGAAUUGUGUAAUUGGGUGCGUGCGUUUGGGUGGUCAUAGACAUUGGACCGUGAUAUUGGAAGCAGCCUGGGAACACUUCGCGCGCUCUUCCAGAAUUCUUUGCUCUGGCGCUCGGUUUUGGGCUGAUUUCGCUCGACCGCCCCAGAAGCGAAAAGGGCUCGCGCGGGACGAGGUGGAGAAGCGGCGGCACGCGGGGGCGCAGGUUGUUUAGCUGAGGCAGAUUCAAGGUUUGUUCAUCUAUAAUUUGUGUUAUCCUGUCAUAUGUGAUGUUUGUUUGCUGGUAGAAUAAGCAAAUAAAUUUGCCUUGCCAUAAUUUGUGCUAUCCUGUCAUAUGUGAUGUUUGCCUGCUAUCCUUUCAUAUGUGAUGUUUGCUUGCUAUCCUCAAAUGGUUCAGAUGUGGUGUGCCAAGUCAGGGUUUAUUAAUCUCUGUGAUGGAAUGAUACAUAAUUUUAGAAUGCUUGCUGCACCAUGUCUUGGGUUAUACUUGUGUGUCUAAAUAAUAUAUUAUUUUGGAAUGCUUGUUGCACCAUGGCUUUCUAUAUUUACUUGUGUAAUUGAAUGAGGCAUGCAUGGCUAAUUUCUGAAAUCUCUACUAUUAAAGGGGGAUCGAACGUCGUGAUGGUUCGACCUCCCCUCGUGGUUCGACACCUCGUUCGAUCCCCCCACCUCGUUGGACACGUAUCAUUGGGCCACCUCCUUCCCACGAUCCAUCCACGAGACCAUGAUCGCCUCUCGCGAGAACCGCAACGAUCUUUUUACAGCACCUCCCACACUUCCAACCCUCCGGUUUACAAGGGGAAAAACCAAAAAAGAAACAACCCUACCCACGCAUGCACGUUUCCUAUGCAAUCCAGAACUGCCGCUAGACCAGGCAAAAUCAACGCACCGGUAUGCACACAUCCAUACAUGCACGAUCUGCUAGGGCUUCUCCUUAUUUCCUAACGACCUGACCAUGCAUGUUCCUCCUUCCUGGUCAUGCUCGCCAUCGUGCCAGACGGGAGGCCGCCAUGUGCACCGUUUCAAUGGUGUUCCUCCUCGAGGAGCGCGUCACUAGCAUGACGCGGGCGGGGAAGUGGUGGACGCGCAGGGUUCACGCCUACGUUUGGGGUGGCCAUCGCGCUCUACCUCCUGGCCUCUGAACUCACCAGCAUCGGUCGCCGCGGCGGCGUUGUCUCUAUCGUCUUCAUCGAGAUGCUCCUGGUGGUCCUCUAUAAAGCCCCGAGCCCUGGACAGGGUUGAUCGUCGAGGCGGAAGCGGCUGAGGCCCGGAGCCCCCUCGAAUCGCCACGACUCAUGGAGGAGCAGAAAACAAGCCGGCAAUGUGCCUGAGCUAGGGCAGUGGGGGCUGCAAUCCAGGUAGUUUUUUUCCUCAUCUCUUAUGCUCAUUUCUCUUUGUGGUCUACAAGGGCGUGCUACGGCUGCGCGUACAGACAUGGCCAUCGCUCUAGCUACAUUCAUCCCGGUGCAGGACCGCUCGUCUCGGCAUCGCAGAAUCGCAGGCGAGGGCGCCGGUGACGGCUGCCAGGUGCUCGUGGGGCUACUGAAGGGCGCGGGCGAGGCACAUGGUUGAUGCUUGGGACAGCUGCGGAGCGGCGUGCGCGAGUGCAGGGCAGGCAGUAGCCAGGGCGGCGGGAGAGGACCUAGGACACGUUGUGUUCAUGUAAUCAUCUUGUUCGUCUCUCCCUUUUGUUCGUCCUGUGUGACUAUGUUUUCCUCUUAUAUCCUGUAGCUCUAACUAUGCUUUCCUCUUGCAUCCUGUAGCUUUAAGAACGACUUGUGCAGGUAAUUUAUUUCUGGUCACCAAAACAAGUUUGUUCUUACACUUUGACGUUCGUAUUUGCAAGCAAUAUAUAUUCUAGCUGUCCUA